AUUGAACGCUGGCGGCAUGCCUUACACAUGCAAGUCGAACGGCAGCACGGGAGCAAUCCUGGUGGCGAGUGGCGAACGGGUGAGUAAUAUAUCGGAACGUGCCCAGUCGUGGGGGAUAACGUAGCGAAAGCUACGCUAAUACCGCAUACGAUCUAUGGAUGAAAGCGGGGGAUCGCAAGACCUCGCGCGAUUGGAGCGGCCGAUAUCAGAUUAGGUAGUUGGUGAGGUAAAGGGCUCACCAAGCCGACGAUCUGUAGCUGGUCUGAGAGGACGACCAGCCACACUGGGACUGAGACACGGCCCCAGACUCCUACGGGAGGCAGCAGUGGGGAAUUUUUGGGACAAUGGGCGCAAGCCUGAUCCAGCAAUGCCCGCGUGCAGGAUGAAGGCCUUCGGGUUGUAACUGCUUUGUAC
Molecule: ribosomal RNA, 414 nt
Filed under: uncultured bacterium
Lineage: Bacteria
Description: bacterial SSU rRNA
Rfam family: Bacterial small subunit ribosomal RNA
Source: RNAcentral